This 113-nucleotide small nuclear RNA is filed under the name Bison bison bison. RNAcentral's name for it is "U4 spliceosomal RNA (ENSBBBG00000003210.1)". It matches the Rfam family "U4 spliceosomal RNA". Rfam says of the family: U4 small nuclear RNA (U4 snRNA) is a component of the major U2-dependent spliceosome. The structure of U4 snRNA from yeast and human has been reported. U4 snRNA presents a k-turn RNA motif in the 5p-SL related to recognition of Snu13 protein. The record is from RNAcentral. Lineage: Eukaryota; Metazoa; Chordata; Mammalia; Artiodactyla; Bovidae.
AGCUUUGCGCAGUGGCAGUAUCGUAGCCAAUGAGGUUUAUCCGAGGCGCGAUUAUUGCUAAUUGAAAACUUUUCCCAAAUUAGUUUUAAAUAAUAAUGCUGUAAAUAUGUUUA